RNAcentral lists this ribosomal RNA (231 nucleotides) under uncultured bacterium. RNAcentral describes it as "partial 16S ribosomal RNA". It matches the Rfam family "Bacterial small subunit ribosomal RNA", at positions 546 to 776 of the family's 1533-position model. The record is from RNAcentral.
CGGAAUUACUGGGCGUAAAGCGUGCGCAGGCGGUUUUGUAAGCCAGAUGUGAAAUCCCCGGGCUUAACCUGGGAAUGGCAUUUGGGACUGCAAGGCUUGAGUGCGGCAGAGGAGACUGGAAUUCCCGGUGUAGCAGUGAAAUGCGUAGAUAUCGGGAGGAAUACCGAUGGCGAAGGCAGGUCUCUGGGCUGACACUGACGCUCAUGCACGAAAGCGUGGGGAGCAAACAGG